AGAGUUUGAUCCUGGCUCAGGACGAACGCUGGCGGCGUGCCUAAUACAUGCAAGUCGAACGCUUCUUUUUCCACCGGAGCUUGCUCCACCGGAAAAAGAGGAGUGGCGAACGGGUGAGUAACACGUGGGUAACCUGCCCAUCAGAAGGGGAUAACACUUGGAAACAGGUGCUAAUACCGUAUAACAAUCGAAACCGCAUGGUUUUGAUUUGAAAGGCGCUUUCGGGUGUCGCUGAUGGAUGGACCCGCGGUGCAUUAGCUAGUUGGUGAGGUAACGGCUCACCAAGGCCACGAUGCAUAGCCGACCUGAGAGGGUGAUCGGCCACAUUGGGACUGAGACACGGCCCAAACUCCUACGGGAGGCAGCAGUAGGGAAUCUUCGGCAAUGGACGAAAGUCUGACCGAGCAACGCCGCGUGAGUGAAGAAGGUUUUCGGAUCGUAAAACUCUGUUGUUAGAGAAGAACAAGGAUGAGAGUAACUGUUCAUCCCUUGACGGUAUCUAACCAGAAAGCCACGGCUAACUACGUGCCAGCAGCCGCGGUAAUACGUAGGUGGCAAGCGUUGUCCGGAUUUAUUGGGCGUAAAGCGAGCGCAGGCGGUUUCUUAAGUCUGAUGUGAAAGCCCCCGGCUCAACCGGGGAGGGUCAUUGGAAACUGGGAGACUUGAGUGCAGAAGAGGAGAGUGGAAUUCCAUGUGUAGCGGUGAAAUGCGUAGAUAUAUGGAGGAACACCAGUGGCGAAGGCGGCUCUCUGGUCUGUAACUGACGCUGAGGCUCGAAAGCGUGGGGAGCAAACAGGAUUAGAUACCCUGGUAGUCCACGCCGUAAACGAUGAGUGCUAAGUGUUGGAGGGUUUCCGCCCUUCAGUGCUGCAGCUAACGCAUUAAGCACUCCGCCUGGGGAGUACGACCGCAAGGUUGAAACUCAAAGGAAUUGACGGGGGCCCGCACAAGCGGUGGAGCAUGUGGUUUAAUUCGAAGCAACGCGAAGAACCUUACCAGGUCUUGACAUCCUUUGACCACUCUAGAGAUAGAGCUUCCCCUUCGGGGGCAAAGUGACAGGUGGUGCAUGGUUGUCGUCAGCUCGUGUCGUGAGAUGUUGGGUUAAGUCCCGCAACGAGCGCAACCCUUAUUGUUAGUUGCCAUCAUUCAGUUGGGCACUCUAGCAAGACUGCCGGUGACAAACCGGAGGAAGGUGGGGAUGACGUCAAAUCAUCAUGCCCCUUAUGACCUGGGCUACACACGUGCUACAAUGGGAAGUACAACGAGUCGCGAAGUCGCGAGGCUAAGCUAAUCUCUUAAAGCUUCUCUCAGUUCGGAUUGCAGGCUGCAACUCGCCUGCAUGAAGCCGGAAUCGCUAGUAAUCGCGGAUCAGCACGCCGCGGUGAAUACGUUCCCGGGCCUUGUACACACCGCCCGUCACACCACGAGAGUUUGUAACACCCGAAGUCGGUGAGGUAACCUUUUGGAGCCAGCCGCCUAAGGUGGGAUAGAUGAUUGGGGUGAAGUCGUAACAAGGUAGCC
RNAcentral lists this ribosomal RNA (1521 nucleotides) under Enterococcus faecium. RNAcentral's name for it is "SSU rRNA". It matches the Rfam family "Bacterial small subunit ribosomal RNA". The record is from RNAcentral. Lineage: Bacteria; Bacillati; Bacillota; Bacilli; Lactobacillales; Enterococcaceae.